Molecule: transfer RNA, 73 nt
Filed under: Candidatus Woesearchaeota archaeon
Lineage: Archaea; Nanobdellati; Candidatus Woesearchaeota
Description: tRNA-Thr
Rfam family: tRNA
About the family: Transfer RNA (tRNA) molecules are approximately 80 nucleotides in length. Their secondary structure includes four short double-helical elements and three loops (D, anti-codon, and T loops). Further hydrogen bonds mediate the characteristic L-shaped molecular structure. tRNAs have two regions of fundamental functional importance: the anti-codon, which is responsible for specific mRNA codon recognition, and the 3' end, to which the tRNAs corresponding amino acid is attached (by aminoacyl-tRNA synthetases). tRNAs cope with the degeneracy of the genetic code in two manners: having more than one tRNA (with a specific anti-codon) for a particular amino acid; and 'wobble' base-pairing, i.e. permitting non-standard base-pairing at the 3rd anti-codon position.
Source: RNAcentral
GCCUCCGUAGCAUAGCGGCUAAUGCGUUGGACUUGUAAUCCAAAGAUCGCGAGUUCAAGUCUCGCCGGAGGCU